UGGGGAAUAUUGCACAAUGGGCGCAAGCCUGAUGCAGCCAUGCCGCGUGUGUGAAGAAGGCCUUCGGGUUGUAAAGCACUUUCAGCGAGGAGGAAGGGUAGUGUGUUAAUAGCACAUUGCAUUGACGUUACUCGCAGAAGAAGCACCGGCUAACUCCGUGCCAGCAGCCGCGGUAAUACGGAGGGUGCAAGCGUUAAUCGGAAUUACUGGGCGUAAAGCGCACGCAGGCGGUUUGUUAAGUCAGAUGUGAAAUCCCCGCGCUUAACGUGGGAACUGCAUUUGAAACUGGCAAGCUAGAGUCUUGUAGAGGGGGGUAGAAUUCCAGGUGUAGCGGUGAAAUGCGUAGAGAUCUGGAGGAAUACCGGUGGCGAAGGCGGCCCCCUGGACAAAGACUGACGCUCAGGUGCGAAAGCGUGGGGAG
RNAcentral lists this ribosomal RNA (421 nucleotides) under uncultured bacterium. Its description in RNAcentral is "partial 16S ribosomal RNA". It matches the Rfam family "Bacterial small subunit ribosomal RNA", at positions 355 to 768 of the family's 1533-position model. The record is from RNAcentral.